GCCAGGUGUGGUGGCAUGCACCUGUAGUCUCAGCUACUCAGGCUGAAACAGGAGGAUUGCUUGAGCCCAGGAAUUCUGGGCUGUGGCGCGCUAUUCCAACUGGGUGUCUGCACUAAGUUUGGCAUCAAUAUGGUGGCCUCCUGGGAGCGGGGGACCACUAGGUUGCCUAAGGAGGGGGUGAACCAGCCCAGGAUGCAAAAACACUAAUUCAAAGUAUUAUGCAUCCCUACGUUUAUAGCAGCAUUAUUUACAAUGGCCAAGAUAUGGAAGCAUCCCAAGUGUCC
This is an unclassified non-coding RNA of Panthera pardus (leopard), 284 nucleotides long. It matches the Rfam family "Metazoan signal recognition particle RNA". From Rfam's summary of the family: The signal recognition particle (SRP) is a universally conserved ribonucleoprotein. It is involved in the co-translational targeting of proteins to membranes. The record is from Ensembl. NCBI's taxonomy places the organism in Eukaryota, Metazoa, Chordata, Mammalia, Carnivora, Felidae.